Molecule: ribosomal RNA, 478 nt
Filed under: uncultured bacterium
Lineage: Bacteria
Description: partial 16S ribosomal RNA
Rfam family: Bacterial small subunit ribosomal RNA
Source: RNAcentral
AACAAACGCUGGCGGCGUGCCUAAUACAUGCAAGUCGAACGGGGAAAGCUUUCGGGUGAGUACUAGUGGCGCACGGGUGCGGAACGCGUGGAUAAUCUGCCUUAGAGUGGGGGAUAACUAGUCGAAAGAUUAGCUAAUACCGCAUAAGACGACAAGAACUGCGGUUCAAGGGGUCAAAGGUUUUUCGCUCUAAGAUGAGUCCGCGUAAGAUUAGCUAGUUGGUGAGGUAACGGCUCACCAAGGCGACGAUCGUUAACUGGACUGAGAGGAUGUUCAGUCACACUGGAACUAAGACACGUUCCAGACUCCUACGGGAGGCGGCAAUAGGGAAUAUUGCACAAUGGAGGAAACUCUUAUGCAGCGACGCCACGUGAGUGAUGAAGGCCUUCUGGUCGUAAAGCUCUGUCGCAGGGGAAUAACACAAUGAAGGUACCCUGUAAGAAAGGAUCGGCUAACUUCGUGCCAGCAGCCGCGGUAA